RNAcentral lists this unclassified non-coding RNA (339 nucleotides) under soil metagenome. Its description in RNAcentral is "partial contains 5.8S ribosomal RNA, internal transcribed spacer 2, and large subunit ribosomal RNA". The stretch from base 1 to 120 matches the Rfam family "5.8S ribosomal RNA", at positions 35 to 154 of the family's 154-position model. The record is from RNAcentral.
GAUGAAGAACGUAGCGAAAUGCGAUACGUAGUGUGAAUUGCAGAAUUCAGUGAAUCAUCGAAUCUUUGAACGCACAUUGCACCUCUCGGUAUUCCGGGAGGUAUGCCUGUUCGAGCGUCAUUUGUACCCUCAAGCUCUGCUUGGUGUUGGGUGUUUGUUCCGCCUCUGUGUGUGAACUCGCCUCAAAACAAUUGGCAGCCGGCGUACUUGUUUCGGAGCGCAGCACAUUUUGCGAUCCAGAUCAAUGUACAGCGGCAUCCAAGAAGCCUUAUUUAACGCUCUUGACCUCGGAUCAGGUAGGGAUACCCGCUGAACUUAAGCAUAUCAAUAAGCGGAGGA